GACGAACGCUGGCGGCGUGCCUAAUACAUGCAAGUCGAACGCUUUUUCUUUCACCGGAGCUUGCUCCACCGAAAGAAAAAGAGUGGCGAACGGGUGAGUAACACGUGGGUAACCUGCCCAUCAGAAGGGGAUAACACUUGGAAACAGGUGCUAAUACCGUAUAACACUAUUUUCCGCAUGGAAGAAAGUUGAAAGGCGCUUUUGCGUCACUGAUGGAUGGACCCGCGGUGCAUUAGCUAGUUGGUGAGGUAACGGCUCACCAAGGCAACGAUGCAUAGCCGACCUGAGAGGGUGAUCGGCCACACUGGGACUGAGACACGGCCCAGACUCCUACGGGAGGCAGCAGUAGGGAAUCUUCGGCAAUGGACGAAAGUCUGACCGAGCAACGCCGCGUGAGUGAAGAAGGUUUUCGGAUCGUAAAACCCUGUUGUUAGAGAAGAACAAGGAUGAGAGUAGAACGUUCAUCCCUGACGUAUCUACCAGA
This 484-nucleotide ribosomal RNA is filed under the name Enterococcus casseliflavus. RNAcentral describes it as "bacterial SSU rRNA". It matches the Rfam family "Bacterial small subunit ribosomal RNA", at positions 28 to 486 of the family's 1533-position model. The record is from RNAcentral. Lineage: Bacteria; Bacillati; Bacillota; Bacilli; Lactobacillales; Enterococcaceae.